AUACGUAGGUGACAAGCGUUAUCCGGAUUUACUGGGCGUAAAGGGCGUGUAGGCGGUCUUGCAAGUCAGAAGUGAAAUUCCUGAGCUCAACUCGGGCGCUGCUUCUGAAACUGCAGGACUUGAGUGCUGGAGGGGAUAGCGGAAUUCCUAGUGGAGCGGUAAAAUGCGCAGAUAUUAGGAAGAACACCGGUGGCGAAGGCGGCUAUCUGGACAGUAACUGACGCUGAGGCGCGAAAGCGUGGGGAGCAAACAGGAUUAGAUACCCUGGUAGUCCACGCUGUAAACGAUGAAUACUAAGUGUUGGAAAAAUCCAGUGCUGAAGUUAACGCAUUAAGUAUUCCGCCUGAGUAGUACGUACGCAAGUAUGAAACUCAAAUGAAUUGACGGGG
This 389-nucleotide ribosomal RNA is filed under the name uncultured bacterium. RNAcentral's name for it is "partial 16S ribosomal RNA". It matches the Rfam family "Bacterial small subunit ribosomal RNA", at positions 523 to 918 of the family's 1533-position model. The record is from RNAcentral.